RNAcentral lists this ribosomal RNA (453 nucleotides) under uncultured bacterium. RNAcentral describes it as "bacterial SSU rRNA". It matches the Rfam family "Bacterial small subunit ribosomal RNA", at positions 64 to 507 of the family's 1533-position model. The record is from RNAcentral.
GAACGAGAAAGCGGGGGCAACUCCGUGAGUAAAGUGGCGCACGGGUGAGUAACACGUAGCUAACCUACCCUCGAGCGGGGGAUAACCUGGGGAAACUCGGGCUAAUACCGCAUAACACCCCGGUGAUGCAAAUCGCUGGGGGCAAAGGCCCGCAAGGGUCACUUGAGGAGGGGGCUGCGGCCGAUUAGCUAGUUGGUGAGGUAACGGCCCACCAAGGCGAUGAUCGGUAGCCGGCCUGAGAGGGCGCACGGCCACACUGGCACUGAAACACGGGCCAGACUCCUACGGGAGGCAGCAGUGGGGAAUUUUGCACAAUGCCCGAAAGGGUGAUGCAGCAACGCCGCGUGAGGGAUGAAGGCCUUCGGGUCGUAAACCUCUUUCGAUCGGGAAAAACGGGCGCGUGAAGAGCGCGUUCUGAUGGUACCGGAUGAAGAAGCCCCGGCCAACUACGUG